GACGAACGCUGACGGUGUGCUUUAGACAUGCAAGUCGAACGAGAAAGCCCUUCGGGGUUAGUAAAGUGGGCGAACGGGUGAGUAACACGUGGGCAAUCUGCCCCUCGCAGGGGGACAACCGGAGGAAACCCCGGCUAAGUACCCCGUAAGGUUCAAAGGGAGGCAUCUCCCCUUGAAGAAAGGGUAGCUUCGGCCAUCCGGCGAGGGAUGAGCCCGCGGUGCAUUAGCUAGUUGGUGGGGUAACGGCCCACCAAGGCGACGAUGCAUAGCUGGUCUGAGAGGAUGAUCAGCCACACGUGGGACUGAGACACGGCCCAGACUCC
RNAcentral lists this ribosomal RNA (323 nucleotides) under uncultured bacterium. RNAcentral's name for it is "bacterial SSU rRNA". It matches the Rfam family "Bacterial small subunit ribosomal RNA", at positions 28 to 339 of the family's 1533-position model. The record is from RNAcentral.